AGCGAACGUUAGCGGCGGGCCUAACACAUGCAAGUCGCACGAGAAUGGAGGCUUCGGCCUCCUAGUAAAGUGGCGCACGGGUGAGUAAUACGUAGGUAAUCUGCCCAUCGGUGGGGGACAACCAGUCGAAAGAUUGGCUAAUACCGCAUCCGUCGGCUGGGUCUGCGGACCUGGUCGGGAAAGCUGGCCUCUAUUUAUAAGCUAGCGCCGAUGGAGGAGCCUGCGUCGCAUCAGCUAGUUGGUGGGGUAACGGCCCACCAAGGCUAAGACGCGUAGCUGGUCUGAGAGGAUGAUCAGCCACACUGGGACUGAGACACGGCCCAGACUCCUACGGGAGGCAGCAGUGGGGAAUAUUGGACAAUGGGCGCAAGCCUGAUCCAGCCACGCCGCGUGAGUGAUGAA
RNAcentral lists this ribosomal RNA (402 nucleotides) under uncultured bacterium. RNAcentral describes it as "bacterial SSU rRNA". It matches the Rfam family "Bacterial small subunit ribosomal RNA", at positions 29 to 412 of the family's 1533-position model. The record is from RNAcentral.